UUGAACGCUGGCGGCAUGCCUUACCCAUGCAAGUCGCACGGUAACGGGCCUUCGGGUGCCGCCGAGUGGCGAACGGGUGAGUAAUACAUCGGAACGUGCCCGAUCGUGGGGGAUAACGAGGCGAAAGCUUUGCUAAUACCGCAUACGAUCUACGGAUGAAAGCAGGGGACCGCAAGGCCUUGCGCGGACGGAGCGGCCGAUGGCAGAUUAGGUAGUUGGUGGGAUAAAAGCUUACCAAGCCGACGAUCUGUAGCUGGUCUGAGAGGAUGAUCAGCCACACUGGGACUGAGACACGGCCCAGACUCCUACGGGAGGCAGCAGUGGGGAAUUUUGGACAAUGGGCGCAAGCCUGAUCCAGCCAUGCCGCGUGCAGGAUGAAGGCCUUCGGGUUGUAAACUGCUUUUGUACGGAACGAAAAGCCUUCUUUUAAUACAGGAGGGUCAUGACGGUACCGUAAGAAUAAGCACCGGCUAACUACGUG
Molecule: ribosomal RNA, 481 nt
Filed under: uncultured bacterium
Lineage: Bacteria
Description: partial 16S ribosomal RNA
Rfam family: Bacterial small subunit ribosomal RNA
Source: RNAcentral